AGGAUCUUCUAUCCAGAAACAUUCAUGAUGGGAAGAGAAGCCUUGCUCCCCUGCUCUCCCAUUCCCCCUCUCCUGUUCUUUUAUCUCUUUCACAUAAGCUAUUAAUUAUGCAGGCUCAAUCCUGCCUAAGUUUUCCAAAUCUCUCUCAGGACAGUCUUGCAGGAAGGAGCUUGAGGAGGACAACUGCCUUAUCUCAUGUUAAUCUCUGCUGCUCUGAGACAAUGUUCUGUCGUUUUUGUGGAGGAAAUUUGGAGAACUGAAAGUUUUCUGACCUACUUCUGCCAUCUUCCCAGAAUCCUCUCCAUACAAGUGAUUUAAGAAGGCAACAUAGAUGAUUUCAGAAAGGCCUGGAGAGACUUACAUGAGCUGAUGCUGAGUGAAGUAAAUAGAACCAAGAGAACAUUGUACAUAGCAACAACAAGAUUAGGUGAUGAUUACUUCUGAUGGAUAUGGCUCUUUUCAACAAGGAGGUGAUUCAGACCAAUUCCAACGGACUUGUGAUGGAGAGAGCCAUCUGCAACCAGAAAGAGGACUAUGGGGACUGAAUAUGAAUCACCUCCUUUUGUUGUUGUUUACUUGCUUUUUUUUUCUUUUUCACUUUUUUUCUCUUUUUGAUCUCUCUUGUACAGCAUGAUAAAUAUGGAAAUAUGUUUAGAAGAAUUGCACAUAUUUAACAUAUAUUUGCUGUCCAGGGGAAGGGGGUGAGGGAAAGGGAGGGAGAAAAUUGGGAACAUAAGGUUUUGCAAGCAUUAAUGUUGAAAAC
This 763-nucleotide long non-coding RNA is filed under the name Sarcophilus harrisii (Tasmanian devil). RNAcentral describes it as "lncRNA (ENSSHAG00000030286.1)". Lineage: Eukaryota; Metazoa; Chordata; Mammalia; Dasyuromorphia; Dasyuridae. The record is from RNAcentral.